AAGUCCUUUAAGAGUAGUCCUGUGAGGCUAGCAAGGUACGGUUUUAUAGUAGCUUCCACGGGUGGAGUCUAUUUAUUUAGCGCUAUUCUUAGAGUGUAUCUUUAAGAAUAGCGCUUUUUU
This is a regulatory RNA element of 120 nucleotides. It matches the Rfam family "PyrR binding site". Rfam says of the family: This family represents the PyrR binding site and terminator structure. This RNA structure is found upstream of a variety of genes involved in pyrimidine biosynthesis and transport. The alignment also includes a portion of the antiterminator structure. The record is from Rfam.